RNAcentral lists this ribosomal RNA (1000 nucleotides) under uncultured organism. Its description in RNAcentral is "bacterial SSU rRNA". It matches the Rfam family "Bacterial small subunit ribosomal RNA", at positions 355 to 1375 of the family's 1533-position model. The record is from RNAcentral.
UGGGGGAUAUUGCGCAAUGGGGGCAACCCUGACGCAGCAACGCCGCGUGAAGGAUGAAGGUUUUCGGAUUGUAAACUUCUUUUAUUAAGGACGAAACUUGACGGUACUUAAUGAAUAAGCUCCGGCUAACUACGUGCCAGCAGCCGCGGUAAUACGUAGGGAGCAAGCGUUGUCCGGAUUUACUGGGUGUAAAGGGUGCGUAGGCGGCUUUGCAAGUCAGAUGUGAAAUCUAUGGGCUCAACCCAUAAACUGCAUUUGAAACUGUAGAGCUUGAGUGAAGUAGAGGCAGGCGGAAUUCCCCGUGUAGCGGUGAAAUGCGUAGAGAUGGGGAGGAACACCAGUGGCGAAGGCGGCCUGCUGGGCUUUAACUGACGCUGAGGCACGAAAGCGUGGGUAGCAAACAGGAUUAGAUACCCUGGUAGUCCACGCUGUAAACGAUGAUUACUAGGUGUGGGGGGUCUGACCCCUUCCGUGCCGGAGUUAACACAAUAAGUAAUCCACCUGGGGAGUACGGCCGCAAGGUUGAAACUCAAAGGAAUUGACGGGGGCCCGCACAAGCAGUGGAGUAUGUGGUUUAAUUCGAAGCAACGCGAAGAACCUUACCAGGUCUUGACAUCCAACUAACGAAGUAGAGAUACAUUAGGUGCCCUUCGGGGAAAGUUGAGACAGGUGGUGCAUGGUUGUCGUCAGCUCGUGUCGUGAGAUGUUGGGUUAAGUCCCGCAACGAGCGCAACCCUUGCUAUUAGUUGCUACGCAAGAGCAUUCUAAUAGGACUGCCGUUGACAAAACGGAGGAAGGUGGGGACGACGUCAAAUCAUCAUGCCCCUUAUGACCUGGGCUACACACGUACUACAAUGGAUGUUAACAGAGGGAAGCAAGACAGCGAUGUGGAGCAAACCCCUAAAAACAUUCUCAGUUCAGAUUGCAGGCUGCAACCCGCCUGCAUGAAGAUGGAAUUGCUAGUAAUCGCGGAUCAGCAUGCCGCGGUGAAUACGUUCCC